RNAcentral lists this ribosomal RNA (386 nucleotides) under Plocamium cartilagineum. RNAcentral's name for it is "bacterial LSU rRNA". It matches the Rfam family "Bacterial large subunit ribosomal RNA", at positions 2089 to 2473 of the family's 2925-position model. Lineage: Eukaryota; Rhodophyta; Florideophyceae; Plocamiales; Plocamiaceae. The record is from RNAcentral.
CCCUAUGAAGCUUUACUGUAGUUUGAAAUUGACUUUGGGUUUAAUUUGCGCAGCAUAGGUGGGAGGCUAAGAGAAUAUGCUCGAGGGUAUAUAGGAGCCAUCAGUGAGAUACCACUCUAAUUAAACUAAAAUUCUAACCUUGAAGUCGUUAACCGGCCAAGGAACAGUUUCAGAUGGGCAGUUUGACUGGGGCGGUCGCCUCCUAAAAAGUAACGGAGGCGUACAAAGGUUUCUUCAGGCUGGUCGGAAAUCAGUCGUAGAGUAUAAAGGCAUAAAGAAGCUUGACUGCGAGACCUACAAGUCGAGCAGAGACGAAAGUCGGUCUUAGUGAUCCGACAGUACUGAGUGGAAAGGCUGUCGCUCAACGGAUAAAAGUUACUCUAGGG